GACGAACGCUGGCGGCGUGCUUAACACAUGCAAGUCGAACGGAAAGGCCCUGCUUUUGUGGGGUGCUCGAGUGGCGAACGAGUGAGUAACACGUGAGUAACCUGCCCUCGACUUUGGGAUAACUUCAGGAAACUGGGGCUAAUACCGGACAGGAGCUCCUGCUGCAUGGUGGGGGUUGGAAAGUUUCGGCGGUUGGGGAUGGACUCGCGGCUUAUCAGCUUGUUGGUGGGGUAGUGGCUUACCAAGGCUUUGACGGGUAGCCGGCCGGAGAGGGUGACCGGCCACAUUGGGACUGAGAUACGGCCCAGACUCCUACGGGAGGCAGCAGUGGGGAGUCUUGCACAGUGGGCGGGAGCCUGAUGCAACGACGCCGCGUGCGGGAUGACGGCCUUCGGGUUGUAAACCGCUUUCGCCUGUGACGAAGCGUGAGUGACGGUAAUGGGUAAAGAAGCACCGGCUAACUACGUG
This 468-nucleotide ribosomal RNA is filed under the name uncultured bacterium. RNAcentral's name for it is "partial 16S ribosomal RNA". It matches the Rfam family "Bacterial small subunit ribosomal RNA", at positions 28 to 507 of the family's 1533-position model. The record is from RNAcentral.